Molecule: ribosomal RNA, 274 nt
Filed under: uncultured bacterium
Lineage: Bacteria
Description: partial 16S ribosomal RNA
Rfam family: Bacterial small subunit ribosomal RNA
Source: RNAcentral
AUACGGAGGGUGCGAGCGUUAAUGGGAAUUACUGGGCGUAAAGCGCGCGUAGGCGGUUUGGUCAGUCGGAUGUGAAAGCCCCAGGCUCAACCUGGGAAUGGCAUUCGAUACUGCCUGACUAGAGUAUGGUAGAGGGAAGUGGAAUUUCCGGUGUAGCGGUGAAAUGCGUAGAUAUCGGAAGGAACACCAGUGGCGAAGGCGACUUCCUGGGCCAAUACUGACGCUGAGGUGCGAAAGCGUGGGGAGCAAACAGGAUUAGAAACCCCAGUAGUCC